This 253-nucleotide ribosomal RNA is filed under the name uncultured bacterium. RNAcentral describes it as "partial 16S ribosomal RNA". It matches the Rfam family "Bacterial small subunit ribosomal RNA", at positions 524 to 776 of the family's 1533-position model. The record is from RNAcentral.
UACGUAGGUGGCAAGCGUUGUCCGGAUUUACUGGGCGUAAAGAGCGCGCAGGCGGUCAGAUAAGUCGAAUGUGAAAGCCCCCGGCUCAACUGGGGAGGGUCAUUCGAUACUGUUCGACUCGAAGGCAGGAGAGGGAAGUGGAAUUCCCGGUGUAGUGGUGAAAUGCGCAGAUAUCAGGAGGAACACCGGUGGCGAAGGCGGGUCUCUGGGCCGUAACUGACGCUGAGGAGCGAAAGCGUGGGGAGCGAACAGG